CCGUGCCAUGGAAGGAAGGCAUGGGUGAUGUUAGUCUGAAGGCCAGCCAGAGGGACUGACGGUGCUGUAGCCUGAGCCAUCGUCUCAUGUGCUCUCAGAUUAGACCACUAUAGAGGCUGAGAAAGUAAGCAGAUGGCUGUCAAGUCCAGUCUGACUGAUUUUACUGCACUUCAAACAGGAAAACUACAGAACAAAUGGUAAAGAGAGGUCACUGGAGCAACAGGUAUGGAUUAGGGCCCUUCAACUGUCCAUGAAUACAAUGCUAAAAUGGUGAAAACCAGCCUGCUUUGAUCUUGGAUAAAAGAAGCUACAUGUGGAGAGCAUUGGUGACAAUGAGAUGUUGAGGUUUCUUUAUCUAAAAACGAUGGAUCUCAAGUGACUUUUAGGUACUAACAGCAGAGCAAAUACAAUUCCUUCUUACUAAGAUGCAGGUCAGCUCAGAUCUGCUGUAUGGGCCAUCCUCCAUCAGUGUCUGAUCGGGAUGAUGGAUGGCACAGCCACACUUGGGCUGAAAGUGAAGAGUGAAGGCAUGUGAUUCACAGGAGGGCUGUGCACUGCAAAAUCCUGCAGUUCCCAUGAGGACAGAAGGAAGGUGGAAGGGCAGAGAGUCUUAAAGUUGGAGAAGUCGCAGUGAAUAUGACGUCAGCGUCUCAUCUUCCAUGCUAGAACGCUGGGAAGUCUAAUACGAGAGGCUUCAGACUGCUGAGCGUGGUGGAAGCCAGGGGAGCUAAGACUUGUCAACCAUGAGAAGGUCCAGGAAUGGGCGGUCAACUCUCCGGAAACGUACUUCUUCUGUAGAAGGUGCACUUGUGGCAUCUGUUCUCCUGAGAUCUCAGUUCUCCUUUAUAGAACAGAAAGGCUAUAAAGCAAGAAGGCCUGGGUGUGAAAAGAUCUCUGCCAUGUUCCAGCUGUGUGCCCCACACCUGGCCAGCAGCAUCCUUAAAUGAGGACAAUAGUACUCGUCUUCCGGAGGGCCGAUGUGUGCAAAGCUCUAAGGUGCAGUAACUUGCUUCCUUCCUGAUAUAGCAGAUUAUAUCUCUUCUAUGUCAAGCACUCGUGAGGACGUUGGCCAGCUGGUGUAUGAGAUGGACAUCCACAGGGACGUCACCUUUGGAGCCCUGUGCUCCAAACCUCCGGGAGUGCAUGGCUGGAGAUGAAAAGAGAGCCUACAGGCCACAAGUCCAAAUAGGAUCGAACACAACUGCCUUACAGAAUGAAUGCCCUGGGUUUUUCUUCCCCAUACUCCGAUUUAUUACUGAGAUCAGUCCAAAAGUCAAUCAUUUCACAGACCACCCCGACCCUCCCCAGCCGUCCCCUGUCCUCUAUGUGAGUUCCCAAAUGCCCUGCCCUUCAUUUUCCUUUUAUCCUUGCUUCCUGAUUCUAUCAAUAAAAAAGUCACCAGAGCUUCAGUUCAGGGCUGGAGUUUGAGACUCUCAAGCUGACAGGUCUCGGUUAACGGUAGCCCCAUCUGAACCUUCUUGGGGUUUGGAUUGGAUAUUGACUCCGGCUAAUACUUUGUCUCAGCCUUUUUGCCAUGCCAUAGUCGUGAACUGCAACAAGCAUGUUCAAGUUUUUGUUUCUGGUUUUUUUUUUUGAGGGGGAUUUGUUGGUUGGUUGGUU
Heterocephalus glaber (naked mole-rat) is the source of this 1620-nucleotide non-coding RNA. NCBI's taxonomy places the organism in Eukaryota, Metazoa, Chordata, Mammalia, Rodentia, Bathyergidae. The record is from RefSeq and is a predicted model, not a curated record.